UACGUAGGUGGCAAGCGUUGUCCGGAUUUAUUGGGUUUAAAGGGUGCGUAGGCGGUCUUAUAAGUCAGUGCUGAAAUAUCCCGGCUUAACCGGGAGGGUGGCAUUGAUACUGUAGGACUUGAGUAGAGUUGAGGUUGGCGGAAUUGACGGUGUAGCGGUGAAAUGCUUAGAUAUCGUCAAGAACACCGAUAGUGAAGACAGCUAACUAAGCUCUAACUGACGCUGAGGCACGAAAGUGUGGGGAUCAAACAGGG
This 254-nucleotide ribosomal RNA is filed under the name uncultured bacterium. RNAcentral describes it as "partial 16S ribosomal RNA". It matches the Rfam family "Bacterial small subunit ribosomal RNA", at positions 524 to 777 of the family's 1533-position model. The record is from RNAcentral.